RNAcentral lists this ribosomal RNA (345 nucleotides) under uncultured Anoxybacillus sp. RNAcentral describes it as "bacterial SSU rRNA". It matches the Rfam family "Bacterial small subunit ribosomal RNA", at positions 1036 to 1382 of the family's 1533-position model. Lineage: Bacteria; Bacillati; Bacillota; Bacilli; Caryophanales; Anoxybacillaceae. The record is from RNAcentral.
CAGUGGUGCAUGGUUGUCGUCAGCUCGUGUCGUGAGAUGUUGGGUUAAGUCCCGCAACGAGCGCAACCCUCGACCUUAGUUGCCAGCAUUCAGUUGGGCACUCUAAGGUGACUGCCGGCUAAAAGUCGGAGGAAGGUGGGGAUGACGUCAAAUCAUCAUGCCCCUUAUGACCUGGGCUACACACGUGCUACAAUGGGCGGUACAAAGGGUCGCGAACCCGCGAGGGGGAGCCAGUCCCAAAAAGCCGCUCUCAGUUCGGAUUGCAGGCUGCAACUCGCCUGCAUGAAGCCGGAAUCGCUAGUAAUCGCGGAUCAGCAUGCCGCGGUGAAUACGUUCCCGGGCCUU